This 253-nucleotide ribosomal RNA is filed under the name uncultured bacterium. Its description in RNAcentral is "partial 16S ribosomal RNA". It matches the Rfam family "Bacterial small subunit ribosomal RNA", at positions 524 to 776 of the family's 1533-position model. The record is from RNAcentral.
UACAGAGGUCUCAACCGUUGUUCGGACUCAUUGGGCGUAAAGGGUGCGUAGGCGGUCGGGUAAGUCGGAUGUGAAAUCUCAGGGCUCAACCCUGAAACUGCAUUCGAUACUGCCUGGCUAGGGUACUGGAGAGGAGACUGGAAUUUACGGUGUAGCAGUGAAAUGCGUAGAUAUCGUAAGGAAGACCAGUGGCGAAGGCGAGUCUCUGGACAGUUACCGACGCUGAGGCACGAAGGUCAGGGGAGCAAACGGG